AUACGUAGGUGGCGAGCGUUAUCCGGAUUUACUGGGUGUAAAGGGCGCGUAGGCGGGGGCGCAAGUCAGGUGUGAAAUCUAUGGGCUUAACCCAUAAACUGCACUUGAAACUGCAUCUCUUGAGUGCUGGAGAGGUAGACGGAAUUCCUUGUGUAGCGGUGAAAUGCGUAGAUAUAAGGAAGAACACCAGUGGCGAAGGCGGUCUACUGGACAGUAACUGACGCUGAGGCGCGAAAGCGUGGGGAGCAAACAGGAUUAGAUACCCUGGUAGUCCACGCUGUAAACGAUGAAUACUAGGUGUGGGGGGACUGACCCCCUCCGUGCCGCAGUUAACACAAUAAGUAUUCCACCUGGGGAGUACGGCCGCAAGGUUGAAACUCAAAUGAAUUGACGGGG
RNAcentral lists this ribosomal RNA (396 nucleotides) under uncultured bacterium. RNAcentral's name for it is "partial 16S ribosomal RNA". It matches the Rfam family "Bacterial small subunit ribosomal RNA", at positions 523 to 918 of the family's 1533-position model. The record is from RNAcentral.